Molecule: long non-coding RNA, 485 nt
Organism: Helianthus annuus (common sunflower)
Lineage: Eukaryota; Viridiplantae; Streptophyta; Magnoliopsida; Asterales; Asteraceae
Exons: 2
Source: RefSeq, a predicted model, not a curated record
AGCAAGUUAGCAUACUUGUACUUAUAAACACACUCUUGUAGUUGUUUAUUUGUAAACAACGCUUGCAAGCAUCACUUGAUUCACACAAAACACUUUCAUCGUUGGGCACAAAAGCUUAACUUAGAUCAAAUCUAAGUCGCUAGACGAGAGUUAGAAGUUACUCCGUGACACUUUGCAUUAUUGUAAUCAGCAUCAUCAGCAGCACCGCAAUCAGCAUCAUCGUCAACACCGUAAUGAGCACAUCGUCAACAUCAGCACGGUAACACCACCGUCAGUACAUCUGACGAUAACAUCCCACACCACCACCGUCAGCACAUCUCGUAAUCAGCAUAACACUGUAAUCAACACAUUAAUCAGCACCGUAAUCAACACAAUUUCUUGUUUUUUUUUUUUAAUUUUGUAAACAACAUAUACUAUUACAUAACUAGCACAAUUUCAUCUUUUUUAAUUUUAUAAAUAACACAUGUUGUUACAUAGUAGCACAA